Molecule: ribosomal RNA, 130 nt
Filed under: uncultured bacterium
Lineage: Bacteria
Description: partial 16S ribosomal RNA
Source: RNAcentral
AGUUAGCCGUGGCUUCCUCCUCAGGUACCGUCAUUAUCGUCCCUGAAGACGGGGUUUUACAAUCCGAAGACCGUCAUCACCCACGCGGCGUUGCUGCGUCAGGCUUUCGCCCAUUGCGCAAUAUUCCCCA